GCCUUUCUUUUCAAAACAUUGAAAAUACUGAAAUCAGACAUACAAUACAAAACCUCAGAUGUGUCUACGUAAAAUCCCCUCGUGUCACCCUUGUCUCAGUGCCGGGAAAGUCGCUCCAUUUCUUGCAUAUUUCUCAACAAAGCCCCACCCACUCCUCCAAAGUGCUAAUCAUGAAAUCAGCAAUUUUGCACAACCAUCAGAAGAAAAAUCCACAGAUAAUAUCACUCCCAUAAUCGACAGAAAGUAUUGGACAGGCCGUAUCCACAAGCUGUGCACCGUCUACCAUGACGUGGACGCCGCCCUCGACCUCCUCCACGACCUCUCUGUACGUGGGUUCCGGCCGGACUCACUCAAUAUCAGCAGCAUUAUACACGCAUUCUGCGAAUCAGGCCGAUUCUCGGAAGCCCACAAUCGCCUUCUUCUUUUUAUUGGCUCUAGUUGCACCCCAGAUGAGCGGACUUGCAAUGUUUUAAUUGCACGCUUGCUAGAUGCGCGGGAGCCGUAUUGUACAUUGCGCGUCAUUCGGGCGUUGAUACAUGAUAAGCCUAAUUUUGUCCCUUCUUUGAUGAAUUUUAACCGGCUGAUUGAUCAGUUUUGUAAUUUGGAGAGACUGCGUGAAGCCCAUUCGCUGUUUUAUCAUAUGAUGAGCAGAGGUCACCGCCCCAACGAAGUUUCGUACACUACGUUAAUUAAUGGAUAUUGUAAAGUUGGGGACAUGGGUGCUGCUCAGAAGCUGUUCGAAGAAAUGUCUGAGUAUGGAGUGAAGUGCAAUGCACUUACUUAUAGUGUCUUGAUUCGUGGAAUUUUGCGGAAAAGAGAGUUUGAAUAUGGGAAAGAAUUGAUGAGAAGGCUUUGGGAUGUUAUGAAAACUGAGGAGGAUAUCCAUGUUAACAAUGCGGCCUUUUGUAAUGUUAUUGAUUCUUUAUGUAGAGAAGGGUUGUUCCACGAAGCAUUUAAGAUUGCAGAAGAUAUGCCGCAAGGGGCAAAUGUUGUAGAAGAAUUUGCUUAUGGGAAACUGAUUGAUUCACUGUGUACAUUUGGGAGGUGCAAUGGAGCUGCAAGGAUUGUUUAUAUGAUGAGAAAGAGAGGGUUUACACCAAGCUUGUCAUCAUAUAAUUCAAUUGUUCACGGUCUAUGCAAGGAGGGUGAUUGCUUAAGGGCUUAUCAGUUGUUGGAAGAAGGGAUUGAGUUGGGGUACUCGCCGUCCGAGUACACUUACAAGAUCUUAGUUGAAGGUCUUUGUUAUGAAUCUGAUAUUACUAAAGCAAGAAAAGUUUUAAAUGUGUUGUUGAGCAAGGAAGGUGUAUACAGGACUAGGAUAUACAAUAUAUUUUUGAGGGCUCUUUGUCUUAUGAAUAACCCAACUGAGCUCCUCAACGUACUUGUUUCUAUGUAUCAAGCUCAAUGCCAGCCAGAUAUCUUUACCCUCAAUACUGUUCUAAAUGGAUUUUGCAAAAUGGGAAGAGUUGUAGACGCUUUACAGGUUCUUCGUGAGAUGAUGUCAGGGAAGUUUUGUGCCCCGGAUAGGGUGACAUUUACAACUAUUAUUUGUGGAUUGUUAAAUGUAGGAAAGGUGGAAGAAGCUCGCAAUUUUUUGUAUAAAGUCAUGCCUGAAAAUGGUUUAUCCCCUAAUGUUGUUACUUAUAAUGCAGUUCUUCGUGGAUUGUUCAAACUAGGCCUGGAAAAUGAAGCUAUGGAAGUUUUUGAUAAUAUGGUCUCUAGUGGAGUGUUUGCUGAUUGCACUACUUAUACUAUUGUCAUCGAGGGGCUAUGUGAUUCUCACAGGAUAGAUCAGGCUAAGAGAUUUUGGGAGGAGGUCAUUUGGCAUUCUGGAGUUCAUGACAAUUUUGUUUAUGCAGCCAUACUUAAAGGGCUUUGCCACACUGGCAAAUUCAAUGAGGCGUCUGAUUUUCUAUAUGAACUGGCAGAUUGUGGUGUUACCCUCAAUAACGUAAAUUACAACAUUGUCAUUGACAAUGCUUGCAAGUUGGGUUUGAAGAGAGAGGCUUAUCAGAUUGUGGGUGAAAUGAGAAAGAAUGGGCUAACCCCAGAUGCUGUAACAUGGAGAAUAUUAGAUAAAUUGCAUGAUAAUGUAGGAAAUACAUUUUGUGAGGAUUCAAAUUUGCAAUCUAUUGAGUUUGUACGCUAACCAUAGAGCUGAACAGUCCAGUCAAAUUGCUGUUCUAGUAGAAAAUUAAUGGAAGACAGGGAAUGGAAAAUCAGAGAUGGACGCUUUCAAAAAGUAAAGCACCAUGAGCAGUGAAGGUGAAAAUGAAAAUAUGGUUGAUGUCAAAUUCCUGAUCAGGUAUGCACCAAAAUCUUUGUUGGUGAAAACAUAAUAUACUUGAUUUGAAAAUGAUUCUUGAGACUUCCAAAUCAAAGUUUUUUAUGUUAGUGUUGGUCAUGCUUGGCUGGGAUAUAUAUACAUGUUUCUUACCCAAGACGCUGAUAUUUUCUUUUAUGCUAGUAACUGAUCUAGAUUUAGUUCAUUAAGUUUGUCGUCAUAAAAAUUCAUUCUAGGAAGAAUCUGUUAUUCAAAACAAUUGUCAGAUGAGGAUUUUUUAAUUUUUUAGGUGUUACUGUAUUAGACAGUUACUUAAAGGUCGUUAGUAUAAUUUGCUCUAGAAAAUCUUAUUUCUGCUAUAAUGCAUGCAAAACCCCCCCGUUUUUUUUUAUAUAUAUAUUUAAAUUUUAAAAUAACUUUUAAUUUUAAGAAAAUCAAAAUUCUUUGCCCUAACCAAUCUGAACAUUUGCCCUAAAUAAAUUUCAAAACCUAAGUUGUCUAAUGCUCUGGCGUGGGAGUUGAAACACAUAUAUUUUUUAUGUUUCAAAUUUCAAUGGUAUUAAACUAAAAAUUAAAAAUAAAUUAAUAAUUGAAGACGGAGAAACAGGAUUGGAGUGGGGGAUCCUCGCUCCGCCUCCCUGAAAAUUUGUGUUCAAUUGAAGACGGAGAAAUACGAUGAAGGAUGCCCACGACAUUGGUUUUCACUUUUGUCUAACGUUCUUCAUCCUUUCUUUUCUUACAAUCUCAUUGUAUCCCCCCGAAAUGUUGCAUGGUGUCACAAGGAAUUUGUUUUCUGGAAGAGUUCAUAGUUAAGUUGUUUUUGGAUGGGACUCCUUAUCAUCUAGGAUUGAUGGACAAAUGAAUGAAUUGCAACUAUGGAAUAUCACAAUGGGUCGUCAAAUUUACUUCACGAAAUCGCUUUGUGGUCAAAGUGUGUCUUGUUUGUUUACCAUUAUUUCAAAACCCUUUUUUCUCUCAAACUCAUUUUCAACCAUACAUUCUCCAAGAAUUUACUAUUCCAAAACUCAUUCUAAUGUGAAUUCAAGAAUUUAUGGAGAUUAGGGGCCUGUAAGUUGGUUCUAAAUAAGAAGUGAGAGUCAUAAUCAGAUUUUCCAUUGAAGCAGCUAUUCCCUAGCCAAACUCAUCUCCUCUUUGUCCGUCCUUGCAAUCUCUAUGUAAAAAUUUUAGUUUCGUGGAAAAAGUGAAGCUGCCAGUGCCAUCUUGUUGUGCACUGUUACAUGGGAAAGUAAUUAAGUGAUUGGCAUUUUGACACAACUUGACAGAACUUGAUGUUAUUUCCAAGGCUUGCUGAUCUAAAUGGGAUGCCUGUAUAUGUUUAUAAAGUCGACAUUUCAUGGAGCGGAGAUUGCUCACUGUCGUUUAAUUUUGCAGAAAUCAAGAUUAACUUUAAGGCAUCGAAGGGCGAGACACAAAGGACAUGCUGCAGGCACCCACGUAGAGUGUAUGCUUACUGAAAAGGACUGUAAAAGCCAUGUUCAUUGACAAAAUUUCAUGCAAUGCCAAGUCUCUAUGCGAGGUUUUAAUUCCUAACGAAGAAGUGAAGAAAUUGUUCAAAUGAUUAAUGGAACUUUCAAUGAGUUGCUGUGGUCCCCGGCACAGUGGAGGUUCUGUAGCGAGACACGAUCAAGCACUGGGUUACACAACUGGAGGUGGAGAUGAUGUGGGUGGACUGUAGAUACUGCUGGUUGUGGUAGUAGGCGGAGUUGGCGGUGCUUGCAUAAUAGGAAUUGGUGGUGCCAGUGCAAUCACUGGCAGUGGCGCACGAGUAGGUUUUGAUUUAGUUUUGGGCGGAUGGGAGAGAGUUUUGGGAAAGAACGAGAUGAAUAUAUUUUUAUUUUUUUUUUCGUUUAUUUAACUUUAUAAUUGUUUUAUUUGAAAAAAAAUUUAAAGUUACAAUUUGCCCUUUCAAAAUUCAUCAAAAGAGGUCAAUUUUUUAGUCUUUUCUUAGUCAAUUGAUGGUCAUUUGGACAGGCACAUUCCAUUUCUCGUGUUGCAACGAAAUGAAAGUUUCGGGAAUGUAGAUGACAUAAAACAAAGGUUUGUGUGUAAUUUGAAACAAAAUAGAAGGUUUGAGAUUGUAG
RNAcentral lists this long non-coding RNA (4386 nucleotides) under Olea europaea subsp. europaea. Lineage: Eukaryota; Viridiplantae; Streptophyta; Magnoliopsida; Lamiales; Oleaceae. The record is from RNAcentral.